AACCCACGAUUUGGACAUUUUUUUAGCAUCACUUUGAAUUUCUCCCAUGUUUCACAUAAGACUUCAUUUGUUCCUUGUCUGAACAUUGAAAUAUCAAACUUUGCUU
This 106-nucleotide small nucleolar RNA is filed under the name Phaseolus vulgaris (common bean). RNAcentral's name for it is "Plant small nucleolar RNA R71". It matches the Rfam family "Plant small nucleolar RNA R71". Rfam says of the family: R71 is a member of the C/D box family of snoRNAs containing the C (UGAUGA) and D (CUGA) box motifs. Multiple nearly identical copies of this snoRNA have been identified in Arabidopsis, and it is thought to function as a 2'-O-ribose methylation guide for 18S ribosomal RNA. Lineage: Eukaryota; Viridiplantae; Streptophyta; Magnoliopsida; Fabales; Fabaceae. The record is from Rfam by way of RNAcentral.